Non-coding RNA from Cordylochernes scorpioides, 76 nucleotides. Lineage: Eukaryota; Metazoa; Arthropoda; Arachnida; Pseudoscorpiones; Chernetidae. The record is from the annotation of a GenBank genome assembly.
UGCAGAAGGUCCUUGAAGCCUAGAACCCGGGCCGCCCGCGUGGCAAGCGAGCAUUCUACCACUGAACCAACGAUGC